AUUGAACGCUGGCGGCAGGCCUAACACAUGCAAGUCGAAUGGUAACAGGAAACAGCUUGCUGUUUCGCUGACGAGUGGCGGACGUGUGAGUAAUGUCUGGGAAACUGCCUGAUGGAGGGGGAUAACUACUGGAAACGGUAGCUAAUACCGCAUAACGUCGCAAGACCAAAGAGGGGGACCUUCGGGCCUCUUGCCAUCAGAUGUGCCCAGAUGGGAUUAGCUAGUAGGUGGGGUAACGGCUCACCUAGGCGACGAUCCAUAGCUGGUCUGAGAGGAUGACCAGCCACACUGGAACUGAGACACGGUCCAGACUCCUACGGGAGGCAGCAGUGGGGAAUAUUGAACAAUGGGCGCAAGCCUGAUGCAGCCAUGCCGCGUGUAUGAAGAAGGCCUUCGGGUUGUAAAGUACUUUCAGCGGGGAGGAAGGGAGUAAAGUUAAUACCUUUGCUCAUUGACGUUACCCGAAGAAGAAGCACCGGCUAACUCCGUG
RNAcentral lists this ribosomal RNA (490 nucleotides) under uncultured bacterium. RNAcentral describes it as "partial 16S ribosomal RNA". It matches the Rfam family "Bacterial small subunit ribosomal RNA", at positions 30 to 507 of the family's 1533-position model. The record is from RNAcentral.